CACGGGGGGAGCAAGCGUUGUUCGGAAUCACUGGGCGUAAAGGGCGUGUAGGCGGUCAGGUAAGUGAGAUGUGAAACGCCUCGGCUCACCCGAGGACCUGCAUCUCAAACUGCCUGGCUUGAGUAUGGGAGAGGAUGAGGGAAUUCCUGGUGUAGCGGUGAAAUGCGUAGAUAUCAGGAGGAACACCGGUGGCGAAAGCGCUCAUCUGGCCCAAUACUGACGCUCAUGCACGAAAGCGUGGGGAGCAAACAGG
RNAcentral lists this ribosomal RNA (253 nucleotides) under uncultured bacterium. Its description in RNAcentral is "partial 16S ribosomal RNA". It matches the Rfam family "Bacterial small subunit ribosomal RNA", at positions 524 to 776 of the family's 1533-position model. The record is from RNAcentral.